RNAcentral lists this ribosomal RNA (479 nucleotides) under uncultured Methylobacteriaceae bacterium. RNAcentral's name for it is "bacterial SSU rRNA". It matches the Rfam family "Bacterial small subunit ribosomal RNA", at positions 1 to 527 of the family's 1533-position model. Lineage: Bacteria; Pseudomonadati; Pseudomonadota; Alphaproteobacteria; Hyphomicrobiales; Methylobacteriaceae. The record is from RNAcentral.
GAUUAGAGUUUGAUCAUGGCUCAGAGCGAACGCUGGCGGCAGGCUUAACACAUGCAAGUCGAGCGGGCCCUUUCGGGGGUCAGCGGCGGACGGGUGAGUAACGCGUGGGAACGUGCCUUCUGGUUCGGAAUAACUCAGGGAAACUUGAGCUAAUACCGGAUACGCCCUUUUGGGGAAAGGUUUACUGCCGGAAGAUCGGCCCGCGUCUGAUUAGCUAGUUGGUGGGGUAACGGCCUACCAAGGCGACGAUCAGUAGCUGGUCUGAGAGGAUGAUCAGCCACACUGGGACUGAGACACGGCCCAGACUCCUACGGGAGGCAGCAGUGGGGAAUAUUGGACAAUGGGCGCAAGCCUGAUCCAGCCAUGCCGCGUGAGUGAUGAAGGCCUUAGGGUUGUAAAGCUCUUUUAUCCGGGACGAUAAUGACGGUACCGGAGGAAUAAGCCCCGGCUAACUUCGUGCCAGCCGCCGCGGUAAUACA